RNAcentral lists this unclassified non-coding RNA (340 nucleotides) under soil metagenome. RNAcentral's name for it is "partial contains 5.8S ribosomal RNA, internal transcribed spacer 2, and large subunit ribosomal RNA". The stretch from base 1 to 121 matches the Rfam family "5.8S ribosomal RNA", at positions 35 to 154 of the family's 154-position model. The record is from RNAcentral.
GAUGAAGAACGUAGCGAAAUUGCGAUACGUAGUGUGAAUUGCAGAAUUCAGUGAAUCAUCGAAUCUUUGAACGCACAUUGCACCUCUCGGUAUUCCGGGAGGUAUGCCUGUUCGAGCGUCAUUUGUACCCUCAAGCUCUGCUUGGUGUUGGGUGUUUGUUCCGCCUCUGUGUGUGAACUCGCCUCAAAACAAUUGGCAGCCGGCGUACUUGUUUCGGAGCGCAGCACAUUUUGCGAUCCAGAUCAACGUACAGCGGCAUCCAAGAAGCCUUAUUUAACGCUCUUGACCUCGGAUCAGGUAGGGAUACCCGCUGAACUUAAGCAUAUCAAUAAGCGGAGGA